RNAcentral lists this ribosomal RNA (453 nucleotides) under Triticum aestivum (bread wheat). Its description in RNAcentral is "partial small subunit ribosomal RNA". Lineage: Eukaryota; Viridiplantae; Streptophyta; Magnoliopsida; Poales; Poaceae. The record is from RNAcentral.
AUGACGUCUAUCGAACCAUGGUGCAAAUGGUUUUUUCUUCAAUCUUCAACAGCGGAUCAACUACCAUCGCCAGAGAAAUUGGCGCUCUGGUCAUCGCGUCAUUCGUACAAACAAAAAGAUCAGGGAGUGGCUCAUCUCAACUUGUUCUCUUUACAAUCAACCAUUGAUCUAACUACUGUUGGUUCCUCUUCUGUAUACACACAAGCUUGGACACACGGCGGCUCCGCCCUCCGACAUCUUCCUUCGUCAUCGAUUGCCCAAACGCCGCAUCGAGUCUGUCUCCCGAGUUCUGCUUCAUCCUCGACGGCCUGGCUCCCUGGCGAUGGAUCGCUGCGCCUGGCAGCGCACAACUCCUCCUUCCGGCGACUCGGCCGCAGCUUCUGCAUGGGCUGGCGCCGCGGUGGAUGCACGGACCGGACGCGGCACCAACGCCGGAGCUAUCUACGUCUCUGA